GGAUGUUCCCAGGGAUUUGAAGGACUCCUGUUUCCUAGUAAUACUCACAGAUGCUAAUUCCAGCAAAGAUGUUCCAGACGAGCAGAGCCAGACUAUCCAUUAAAUACAUUUAUGACAGCACAGACACAGCCAGAUCAGCGUCAUCCUCACAGCUACCGAUAACCUCGAACUGGCUCACAGAUGUACUGGGUAAAAGAACAGCAUUGCAAGAAGACUGCACUGUAUGCAUUUCCAAAGCCCAAACAUCUCGAUGGAACUCAGAACAUGCUGACACCUCAAAACAAGCUUUCCUCAGACUAGAUUUUAUUUUC
Molecule: long non-coding RNA, 311 nt
Organism: Onychostoma macrolepis
Lineage: Eukaryota; Metazoa; Chordata; Actinopteri; Cypriniformes; Cyprinidae
Exons: 3
Source: RefSeq, a predicted model, not a curated record